GACGAACGCUGGCGGCGUGCUUAACACAUGCAAGUCGAACGGAAAGGCCCUGCUUUUGUGGGGUGCUCGAGUGGCGAACGGGUGAGUAACACGUGAGUAACCUGCCCUUGACUUUGGGAUAACUUCAGGAAACUGGGGCUAAUACCGGAUAGGAGCUCCUGCUGCAUGGUGGGGGUUGGAAAGUUUCGGCGGUUGGGGAUGGACUCGCGGCUUAUCAGCUUGUUGGUGGGGUAGUGGCUUACCAAGGCUUUGACGGGUAGCCGGCCUGAGAGGGUGACCGGCCACAUUGGGACUGAGAUACGGCCCAGACUCCUACGGGAAGCAGCAGUGGGGAAUAUUGCACAAUGGGCGGAAGCCUGAUGCAGCAACGCCGCGUGCGGGAUGACGGCCUUCGGGUUGUAAACCGCUUUCGCCUGUGACGAAGCGUGAGUGACGGUAAUGGGUAAAGAAGCACCGGCUAACUACAUG
Molecule: ribosomal RNA, 468 nt
Filed under: uncultured bacterium
Lineage: Bacteria
Description: partial 16S ribosomal RNA
Rfam family: Bacterial small subunit ribosomal RNA
Source: RNAcentral